CGUAGUAUACUGCUGCCGCCGCCUAGGGUUCGUCAGCGUUGCGCCGUUCCCGGGUUUCCUAAGUGUGGACCUGGUCGCGCUGCCCAUGUCCCUCCUCUCGCGGUCAUGGCGUGGUGUGGAGGUGGUCCGCGGGGACCGAAACCUCCGAUGGCCGCUGGGACCGUGUCGGCCGGCGUGGUGGUGGUGCUUUGCCGGGUCAGAGACCUCCGGUGGCCGCUGGGGCCAUGCCGGCCGCUGCGGGUCGCGGCGGUGGCGCACUGGGGCCUAGGCCGCUGGCAACUGGGCCGGCCGCUCCGGCGCCCGUGCUAGCCGCUGCGGGGCGGGGCAACGCGCAGGGGCCUAGGCCGCCGCCGACGGGGGCAGUCGUGGUGGCGCCUCGCAAGCAGACGCAGGCACAUGGGCAGCAGCCCCGGGCUGCGCCGCCGCCCCACUUCGUUGCAAGGCCGCCGCAAAAACGGGUUGGGCCGGUGCCGACGCACGCUCCGCCGCCUCAGCCUGAGCAUGGGGGCGAUGGAGGCGCGGACAUGCUCGUUUCCCGGUUAACCGCCUCGGGGACAGUGGGGUGACGAUGGCUGCAACGCCUAUGUUGAGGGCCAACAUCGUGGCUCGUCGUCGACGGGCGGCGGGCGUGGCUAUGCAUGGCAGAGUGAUGGAACAGCAGAAAGACCUUUUUAUGGUCCCCCGGGAGGCUUUGUUGAGGGGGGCAUCUGGCCUAGAUUACCGGCAGAGAGGUGGCUACCGAGGUCAUCGUGGUGGUCGCGGUGGGAGGAACCGUUACCGCCAACCUCCACCGCCUGUUGUUGUGGAACCGACGGCAUCCUCGGAGGUGGCUGCUUCCGAACAGACGCCGGAAUUGUCCAGUCAGGCGAUGGAUGUGGUGACGGCGCUGGCUAAUGUUGAGGUGCCUGAGACUGAGCCCUUGGUGACGGGUGCUGUCGGUGCCGCAGACAAGACAGAUGGUGAUAGAGCUUCCAAGGGGCUCGUAAAAAGGAGAAGAUGUUGUGUUAUCGUUGUGGUGAGAGGGGCCACUUUAUAGCUGAAUGUGUGACUGAGUUAUGUGAUACCUGCCUCAAGCCAGCGCAUGACACGGGAGAGUGCCCGAUACUGCGUGAUCAGAUGCCGAGUAUUACUAUUUAUGGAGUUUAUUGUGCCGAGUUGAUGUUUUUGAGUCUCCUAGUGCGAGGGAGAUCCCUGAGGAGCCCCAGAGCACGACCACGUGGAUUGUUAAAGUCACAAAAGGUGAUGUGUCUGAGGCUCAGAUUAUGCAGAGGCUGAGUGAGUUAGCUCCAGGUAAUUUUGAAUGGGAGCUUAUUCGACUCGAGGCCAAUAUGUAUAAGGUUGACUUCCCUACAACAGAGGACUUGGAGUGUCUUCUCAGUUUUGGGUUGUGCAAAGUACCUGGCACAGAGUGCAUCCUCGAGUUUCAUGAGUGGAAGAAGGUGGAGCCACAGGGCAAGCCUCUCACUCAGGUCUGGUUGCGAUUCUCGGGGGCUCCGUCGAAGCCACUUCAAGAUGCUCGGGUCGCUGCUAGCUUGGGGAUACUGGUCGGGAAGACCGAGAGGGUGUACAUGGCCUUUACCCUAGCUAACGGGGUGGCCCGACUACUGGUGAGUGUCCUGGAUAUCGAGUUUGUGCCCGAUGUGGUCAAGUGGACGCAUAGGGGCCAGGUAUACAACCUAGAGAUUGAGUUUGAGGACACAGAUCUUUUUGCUGAGGCUCUGGCAGGGACUGAUGUGGAUAUGCAUGAUAAGGAUGAUGGAUCGGGUAAUACGGAGGCGCGAGGGGAGGAUGUUGGGCGUGAGUUGCCAAACGGCCCGGGUUCUGCCUCACAGAUGCCCGGGAAUGGGGCUGCACCUUCAGCUACGGUGCCUAUGAACACUUUGAGAUUUGGUUCUUUUGAGCCAACUUCCGCCCCUCCUAAGUUGUGGAGCGAUCGGGUGGAGUCUGAGGAUGUGCUAGAACGCACGCUCCCUCCCCUGGACUUUGCUGAGGCAGAUGGCUCUCUGGAUCACUACUAGAAAUCCAUAUUUUACCUAGGGCCAAGUUCUUUACCUAGAGCUUAUUGACCUACUCAAGGGAUAGUAAAGCAAAGGAACAGUACACCCUAGGGGAAGAGAUUUCAGUCGAAUGGCCCACUUAGAAACGGCGCGCAGCGUGAAAGGCGCGGGCAGGAUGCAAAAUUUGGUCCUAGUUAGGUCUCUUCCCUCUUGAAGUGCUGCCAAAAGCCCAAACAUUUCCCUCUUUCCCCCUGAAACAUCCAUCAGGCACCGAGCCAUGCCCCAUCGCCGCGCCGCCGUGCUCAGCCCCAUCCAGAUCCCCAAUCCAUGGCCUCUAACUGCUGCCCUCCUACCCCGGCCGCCUCCCCCCUCACCGCCGCUUCCAGGGAGGGAUGUUGAAUGGAGAGAUCGAGGCCGUGGGGGACAGGCUACUGGUGCUGGCCGUGGAGGACGAGCUGGCGGUGGCAGCGCCGCUCAACGGCCGUCACUGCUGGCCGCUCGGCUCAGACGACUACACCGUCAUCCACUCAUCCAGAUGACCUCCCGCCUCCACCUCCACCUCCACACCUGUCAUGACGCCAUGACGCCCAACUGCCUAGAUUCUCGAAAAUAGCCAAGAAAUCCAGCUAUCUUCAUGUUUGAAGCUAAAUGGAGAGUCAGACAUCAAACUUCAAUGUUCGCGGGAACAAUGCUCAAUUGUGUUAGUGCCAUUAAGUACAGAUUGACAGGAACAGGUUGUUUCUAACAUGAUCUAUUAAGUCAUGUAUAGGUUGUCUCUUGGACGCCAUAGUGAUCAAAGAAUUUGAGUUGCAGCAAAAUCUAUCAACGAAAGUACUUGUUGCCAACCGAUAGCUUAUUACUCUGAUAAAACCUGAUUUUGGGUUUGAUCAGUUCAGAUUUUUGUAAAUGCAGUGUGCUUCCUUUUCAUUUAUCAAUCCUAUUUGUGUGAGGAAUGUUAGACUUUAAUUCUUUAGCAUUAACGUUACAUGAUCUUAAGAAUAAAUGUAUAGAACAUCUAAUUAUCAUAUGAGGGCAGGAUCUUACUGUCAUUGGGAGUAGCUUUUGCUUAGGUGGAGCGAGGUUCCACGCAUGUUUGAUGUAGGAUUGAUGAGUAGGGGAUCACUGCUGGUACAAGCGGUGAAACCCAUGCGUGACAUUACUGCAUUAUCUGUAUACAUCCUUUUUCUGUUUUAAUAACGAGAUAACUUUUAUUUGGUUGUCAGUUCCAUGUUUAUUUUUCUUUUAAGUAUUGAGACUUGUUGAUAUGUUGUACGUCAUGUUAUUUGUUCUACUGUAAGUAUUACUGAAAUACGUUAUGUAUAGGUAAGAGAGAAGAUGAUGCAAAGGCGAUAAAACGUUUCCAACGUUAAAAGGAAAAAGGACAGGAGCUUGGUUUAAGGGCAUCUUUGGUUUGGCCUCAUCAUCAAAUGUAUGUUGUGAGCUACUGGAGUUUAUGUUGAGUCGCUGAAGCACACACGUGAAGAUAAUGUUGAGUUUGACCACAAGAGAUCGAAAACUAUAGUGAUAGAGGGUGACGAUGACAUGCAAAUGGACAGCAGGCUAGUUCUGUGUAUCAAACACAGUGAGCAUAGUUUAGCAGAAUGUGAACAACUUCUAAGUUGUAGUUCUUGUAAUAUGUUUUUGUUGUGAGGAAUUCAGGCUCAAAAUUGACCAUAAGUGUGAUUGCAUGUGUUCGCUGAUAAUCUGAUUUGUAUGAUGAAUUUUGAAUGCAAUUUAUAAAUUUGA
Molecule: long non-coding RNA, 3743 nt
Organism: Triticum aestivum (bread wheat)
Lineage: Eukaryota; Viridiplantae; Streptophyta; Magnoliopsida; Poales; Poaceae
Exons: 4
Source: RefSeq, a predicted model, not a curated record